Molecule: long non-coding RNA, 3074 nt
Filed under: Paramuricea clavata
Lineage: Eukaryota; Metazoa; Cnidaria; Anthozoa; Malacalcyonacea; Plexauridae
Source: RNAcentral
GUAAAACCUCGUUCGUUGCAGUAUAUUUUGAACAAAUAAACAAUUUAUUAGGAACAUACGUUCAAGAAACGUCUCGUGCUGUACUAGCCUAAUUCUGGCAAAUGUUAUUUACUUUUUUCACCUUCGUGUCGACGACUGUUGUUUGCUGAUGGCCAAAUCACGACAGCGGACAUCAAUUAUUCAAAAUAUGUUCUUAUAGCUUCACGUUUACGAUACGAAUGUAAGAUUAUUUAUUUUUUGUAUAUGUAGGCUCUAGUUGAAAGUAACAGCGACGAUGAAAAAAGUGCACACAACAUUGAAAUAUCCAGUUCACUACUAGCUCAAAUCCUGCGACAUAUCACUUGCCAGUAGCCCAGUCUAGUUUAACUUUGCCCAAUCAAGAAUCAUCUCCUGAAUCAGGCAUACUGGCAACACUGGUUCAUUUGAUAAUGUAAGUUUUUAAACUGGUAUUUUAGAUUUAUAUAGCCUCUGUCAAAUCAGGAUGAAAGUCAUGCAUGAAUUGCUUAUCAAUACACAAGGACAUUUCAAGUUCCAGAUGAACAAAAUAUUAUUAAAGCUUUGAUGAGUGUUCUGCAACUAUGUUUCAACUUUAAAAUACUCUCAUCCUCGUUUGACCCAUAAUUAUUUGUUGAUUUUACUCGAUACUAAAUAGUGAAACAUCGAAUCCAGAGAAAAUCUUUAUAUGCAGAACCCACUGUAAUUCCGAGCUGUAAUCACAUAAUUAUAUAAAAGUCGUUUCAGGAGCAGCAAAAGCCAAACUAAACACCAAUCUAGGAUUAAUAGGUUUAGCUUUUAGGCCGAGAAUAAUACACGAUUGACAAUUUUGUGGCUGAUUGAUUAUAAUUAAUUAAUAGUAUACUGUAUAUUGAUGUUGUUGUAUACAGGACAUCUGACUUACAUGUCAAAUUAAUAGUCGAAUCUAUGAUUAUAUUGAGCAUGGCAGAUUUGACAUUUGAAACAUUGUUGAUGUUAAUAACCCAUUGAGUCGCAUUGCGCCCUGAUGCGCACUAAGUAUUUAUUAUUUUACUCUGGCUAUCUAACGCUAGCAAUUUUACUCAUCAAGGGGAGAGCACUGGCGGUUAAUGUGUUAACUAGCCUAUCUGCCCAUGUGUACAUAGUUAACCCAUUGAGUCGCAUUGUGCCCUAAUGCGGCCUAAUUUAUUAUUUUACUCUGCCUAUCGCAGGACAAUAUUAAGGGCAGAGCGCUGGCGCUUAAUGUGUUAACUAGCCUAUCUGCCCAUGUGUGUUGUUAACACAUUGAGUUGCAUUGUGCCCUAAUUUAUUAUUUUACUCUGUCUAACACCAGAUGAUUUUACUCGUCAAGGUAAGGGCGCUGGUGCUUAAUGGGGUUAACUGGCCUAUUUGCCCGUGUUUAUAGUUAACCCAUUGAGUCGCAUUGCGACCUAUUUUAUUUUUUUUACUCUGUCUUGAGAGGAGAACGCUGGUGCUUAAUGGGGUUAAUAUUGAAAAUAUAGAUCAACAUUUGUCAAAACGCAUGACUUGUGCAAUCAUUUCUGUAAUAAUUAAGAUAUUAAUUAAAAUACCAAAUAUAAUGCCUUAUGGCUUAUUUCAAAUAGGGAGAUGCUAUGUAUGUCCAUUGAAACUUAGUGGAUUUGUUGUAGUACAUCAAAUAAAUGCUAGCCAUAAACAUAUUCAAGUCAAUCGAAGAGAAUGUAGAAUUGCACUUUACAUAAAAUUCCCUAGUUAUUGGACGUUAAUGAAAAAAAAAAGCAUUUGAAAUGAAAUAUAUUGUUUUAAUUUUAUUUCUAUGGUUUGUACUAUGAUAUACAUGGGCUACACACUCUUUGGGAACCCGCAGGGCUGUUGGCAGAGCAUUUCCAUGAUCUGGAACUUCAGUCCUAAACACGAUGUGUGGGUGCGAAGAUGUUGUGUAGGAACAGAACUGUACAGAUUAGAAAUAUGAUUACUGAUAUUUUCCAAAGAAAAACUAUUAAUAUAUAGAAGAGGAAAGAAAGAGGCAAUUUGAAAUUUAAAAAUGGUAGGCUUAUUAGGAUGAGAUACAGAGAAAAACAGUAAUGCAGAACUACAUUCUCUUAAAUUGUCAAAAUUAAACGCUACCAAUCCUGGUCUCGUUUCAAACUUGAAUAACAAAAGUCUAAAAAUAUAAAAACUAUGAGAACAGAUCAGCUAAGUCCAGUUAUAAAAUUAAAUGAUGAAGGAAAGCUAUCAUUUUAGGGAAGUGUUGUUUUGGGGUGUGUAAACUCAUGAGGUUACAUGUUUCUGGUGAAUCUGUGCUUGCUGCAGCAAAAAUUUAUUAAUCGUUUGUGAUAUAAUUCACAAGAUGUCUAUUUUAACCUGUGGGUUGUGGAAUUUGUUUUGUCUGACCAAGAUAUAAUGAAUACCACUAGUGACAUGAGCAUGUCCAAUUAAUAUUUAACUAGAAAUAAAUGCAUGCAGCAACCCUUUGCCUAUAUUUUCCAAACAUUGAUUUAACAUGAACUAUUAGCAAUUGGCCAGCACUGAACGCAGUCUCGCGUUGUGUCAAGUGUUGUCAAGGCAACAUAAUGUCACAUAUUUUAAAUUUUUUUGAGUAAUUUUGCAAGUGUUCAUACCACAGAAUCUACCAUACAUAAUUUUAAACAAAUAGAUAGGUGAAGUAAUUCAAACAAAAUGAUUUUGAACUUUAUUACUCUACUCUGUCGAACGCCUAUUCUACUCGUAAAGGGGAGAGCCCUGGUGCUUAAUGGGUUAAAUAAGAUCGUAUAGUUAUAUGUAUAUCAUGUAUUAUGUUUUUAUGCAGUCUCCCUGAAUCACUUGUACCAGGCUAUGGAAAUUCAUGUUUCCAAUUUUGUAUUUAUUUUUCUUAUGAUGCAGUAUACUGUAAAUUUGAAUAAUAUUUGUGUGCUUAUAGUGAGCUUAUUUUUAGGAGAGUUUGUUGCGAGGCAGCAUAUAUUUUGAUUUUUCAAAAUAUUACUGUAUAUUGGUAUGUUAUACUUAAUAUUAGAAUGUUAGGGUUUGGAAUCCUAGUGAGAAUAUAUACAUUUUAAGACCUAACCAGGAACGACUGCGAAAAAUGCAGCACAAGGUCCUCUGGUAGGAAUCAAACCUACGGC